This 184-nucleotide non-coding RNA is filed under the name Bacillota bacterium. RNAcentral's name for it is "6S RNA". It matches the Rfam family "6S / SsrS RNA". From Rfam's summary of the family: E. coli 6S RNA was the first non coding RNA to be sequenced, but its function was unknown until recently. It consists of 184 nucleotides that fold into an extended hairpin structure with a large single-stranded internal bulge. Lineage: Bacteria; Bacillati; Bacillota. The record is from RNAcentral.
GUGUUCCUGAAGUGUGCGCCAGCGUCUAGUUUUUACCGACACUUCACAAUUGGAACUUGCGUUCGUACACGGAUGUCAUGCCCCCGCUUUUUGCGCCAGGGGAAGACAAAAGCGUGCGGCAGAGUACCAACCUGCUUAUACAUAGCGGGUGAAAAACAUGACGCAGCGGCACUUUGGGAUUGUU